AUGGUCGGUAGUUUAACGCUGACUAGUGAUAGUGACUGGGUUUCCUGGGGGCUUAAUCAAAGUGGCAAAUUUUUGACUAAAUCGGUGUACAGAUGGCUGGAGAGGUCUAUUAGUGGGUGCCAUUACAGAUGAAUUUGGAGAGCCAAGAUACCUCUCAAAAUCAAAAUCUUCCUUUGGCAAUUGUCGCAAGACGCUGUGCUUACUCGACAGGUAAUGCGCACUAGAAAAUGGCCUGGUAACCCUUGUUGUUCCUUCUGCAAUGAGGUUGAGAGUUCGUGA
This 279-nucleotide ribosomal RNA is filed under the name Triticum aestivum (bread wheat). RNAcentral's name for it is "partial small subunit ribosomal RNA". Lineage: Eukaryota; Viridiplantae; Streptophyta; Magnoliopsida; Poales; Poaceae. The record is from RNAcentral.